Molecule: ribosomal RNA, 360 nt
Filed under: uncultured bacterium
Lineage: Bacteria
Description: bacterial SSU rRNA
Rfam family: Bacterial small subunit ribosomal RNA
Source: RNAcentral
AUUGAACGCUGGCGGCAUGCCUUACACAUGCAAGUCGAACGGCAGCACGGGAGCAAUCCUGGUGGCGAGUGGCGAACGGGUGAGUAAUAUAUCGGAACGUGCCCGGUCGUGGGGAUAACGUAGCGAAAGCUACGCUAAUACCGCAUACGAUCUACGGAUGAAAGCGGGGGAUCGCAAGACCUCGCGCGAUUGGAGCGGCCGAUAUCAGAUUAGGUAGUUGGUGAGGUAAAGGCUCACCAAGCCGACGAUCUGUAGCUGGUCUGAGAGGACGACCAGCCACACUGGGACUGAGACACGGCCCAGACUCCUACGGGAGGCAGCAGUGGGAAUUUUGGACAAUGGGCGCAAGCCUGAUCCAGC